ACGAGUCUUGGAUUAGGAUAGAGUAAAACUGGCUCAUAGUUAGCUUUAUUUUGUGUGUGUGUUUGCACUGCUCAUGCUUAACUGGAAGCAUGAAAAUGGUUUACCAAACUAGCACUGUUGCUUAAAUUCGGCCCUCAUCACUGAGAUUUCCCAUUUUAAAACUACAUGUAAGUUUCUUCUAAUUAUUGAAGCUAUUCAAGUUAAUAUCCGUCUCUUGCUAGGGCUGGUUCUGUUUCCUCAUUUUUGGGAUUAUACUGGCAUAAAGUUGGCUUGACCAUUGGACUUGCGAUAUUCGCGGAUAUUAAGCGACCGUCUCUAAAGUUACAUACUACAUCGGUAUACAUGUUUCUAACUUCGAUAGCACUUGAAGGGAAUGACUUACAGUCACACAACCAAAUGUGAAGUCCUUCAGUUAUAACCAAUAAGAAGGGACAGAGGCAGUGCGAUUGUCACGUUAUUUCUGUUUAUUUUUUAUUUAUAUUUAACCGUUUGUAGCUUAUGAUGUACAGUGGAGGAAAUAAGUAUUGGAUCAUCAACAUUUUUCUCAGUAAAUAUAUGUCCAAUGAGGUUAUUUACAUGAAAUGUAUACCAGACAUAGGUAUUAACAUUAUUAACAUUAAUGUCCAUAAAUAAAGUGGAAUGACACAGAUGUUCCUUCUUGAUGGCCUUUUUAUAGACCAUCAAGUAACCCAGCUGAUAUUAAUUUGCACAGAUACGAGGUAUAAUUACUUGUUCCUUCAUAGUCAGUUGGUUCCUGUCACGUCGCGAGACGUAAGGGAGUAGAGUACGCUAGCAGGUGCAGGUAAGGACGUAUUUAUUUUAGGGCGGGCAGACAAAUUCAAAUCGUAAACCAAAAAAACGUAGUCGAGACAGGUAAAGGGUCGGGAAAUCGGCAAACAGGCAUAAACGGGGCAAGGCAGGAAUCAAAGUCGCGGUCACAGAAAACACUUUGUGUCAAAAACACAAAACAAGAAACAUGAACUAGUACUAUAAACUGGGAGCGGAAAAACCAGCGCGGACUAAUGAACUAAUCUAAAGUGUAAACUAACUAAAUCUAUCAAGGUAACUUAAACAACGUAUCUAACUAUAAUACUCCGCCCCGUGUACUGGGAGGCGCGCGUAUAUAUAGCAGUUAUAAUCAGCGUUGAGUGGUGACAGCUGGAAACACUGAAGACACACCCUCGAACCACAACCAAUGACAGAACAGGGAGGAGACAGAACAGAAACAAAACAAAGGCACGUGUCCACAGUAAACAAUGUCACCGUUGUCAACAAUUCGAAGAGCAUGCGCUCGCUGAGCACUCGUGCACGUAGCUCGUGCAUGCGCGCGCCCUCUCAUCUCUCCGAGCGUCCUGCCAGAAGGGGAGAUCGUGACAGUUCCUUGCCUUGGAGAAAUGCUUUUCCUUAGUGUGUUCAAUACUUUUUUCCCCGUGUCAUUCCUGUUAUUACACAUAACUUUAUUUAUGACUUUGUCGUGAAUUCUUUUUAAUGUUGUGAAUUCAUUUCUUGAGUAAAUACUGAUGUCUGGUGAAAAUAUUCACGUGAAUAGCAUCAUUGGAAAUAUAUUUACUGAACAAAAAGUUGAUGCGUCCAAUACUUAUUUCCCCCCGCUGUAUCAGGAUCUUCAUUUGAGUAGUCAGGAUGUAGUUCUCUGCCUCCGCCUCUUAAACAGCCUGCUGGUGUUGCUCCUCAGUUUCUGCCAGGGAGUCUGAAAGUACAACAAUUAAGGCUUGUAUAUGUCUGUAGAAGGACAAAAUGUCCCCAAUAAUUUGUAAGCACACAGACACACACACAGUUCACAAUAGCAGUCAUGGUUUCAUGAAAAGGAAGUUUACCUUCAAUAAUUCCUCUUUUUCCAUCAGAGUCUCCAUCAUCUCAUUGUUCUUCAUCUCAAGCUCCUAAAAUACAGACGAAGAAAAUGUCCCUGAAAUUUUCGCCACCUGGUUGGUCAGGUUCGCCUUCUCCAUCUGGUGUUUCUCCUCAAGUUUCGCCAUGGAACUCUACAUGUACAACAAUUAAGAGCAGUUCCUCCAGCUCCCUCACUCUCUCCUGCAGCUGAAAAUUGGACACCGCAAGCUUCUGCAUCUUCUCCUCAGAAUGACUCACAGAAUCCUGAAAUGCACCGGGCGUAUAUUGUUGCCUUGAGGUGUUUGUAGCACUUCUGAGCAGUCGCAUUCAGUCCAAACAUCAUGUUUAGUUGCAGCUUUCUAAUCUAUCUAAAGGGUCAUACAGCCUACAGUACAAUAUCUGACGCAGAAUCCUUAAAUUCAUCAGACCUCCGAUUUAAAAAAAAAAAAAAUAUGUUUUCUUGAUAAAACCUGCAAUUAAUGAACAUCAGGUCUGGCUUGCUGUCCUAAGCUUAGUGCUGGAGUACAAACGGCGUUUCCUCAUCCAUAAGUGCUAAACAUUUCAAUCCAGAUGUUUAAAAUGUUCCUAUAAUGGAAAACUGGAUUUUUGUCAAAGUUGGAGCAGAAGAACCUUACCGUGACCUGGUCCUGAGGAACCUCUGCGGGUUGGACCAGAGCCGGUUCUGCGGCCUGGACAAGCACUAAAUAAAAAAAAUAUAACGUCGUCAGACAUCAUCAUCAUCAUCUAUUAUUUAUGUUUUGAAGUCCAGACCAGCAGGAUUUUCCACGUCUGAUCCUGGUGAAGCUCUACAGCACAGCAAGUAUUCCAGCUUUCUCACUGGCCUCGGUAAUAAACACACUUCACCGAUGUUCAGUAUGGACAUGUCUAAUGUGUGCCAAGGCUAAGAACACACUGACAGAUUUUAUUACACAUUCAUGAAGAUCGAUGGGACUAAACCGUCUUAGCUUAUGAAGGACUGAACAGAUCUACUCAGUUCAUUUCUUUUAAAGGACAGAAGUAAACUUCACGACUGAGAAACAGUUGUACCUUCAGGUGUGUCCGCGGGUUCCACUGUCGUUUCCUCUCCAGCGUUAAGCGCGUUCAGAACUUCUACAG
Molecule: long non-coding RNA, 2964 nt
Organism: Ictalurus punctatus (channel catfish)
Lineage: Eukaryota; Metazoa; Chordata; Actinopteri; Siluriformes; Ictaluridae
Source: Ensembl